CAGUCGCCGCGGUAAUACGAAGGGUGCAAGCGUUAAUCGGAAUUACUGGGCGUAAAGCGUGCGUAGGCGGUGAGUUAAGUCUGCUGUGAAAUCCCCGGGCUCAACCUGGGAAUGGCAGUGGAUACUGGCUCGCUAGAGUGUGUCAGAGGAUGGUGGAGUUCCCGGUGUAGCGGUGAAAUGCGUAGAGAUCGGGAGGAACAUCAGUGGCGAAGGCGGCCAUCUGGGACAACACUGACGCUGAGGCACGAAAGCGUGGGGAGCAGACAGGAUUAGAUACCCGGGUAGUCCCUGUCUCUUAUAC
RNAcentral lists this ribosomal RNA (301 nucleotides) under uncultured bacterium. RNAcentral's name for it is "partial 16S ribosomal RNA". It matches the Rfam family "Bacterial small subunit ribosomal RNA", at positions 509 to 807 of the family's 1533-position model. The record is from RNAcentral.